CGAUUUCCGAAUGGGGAAACCCAGUGUGAUUCGUCACACUAUCAUUAACUGAAUCCAUAGGUUAAUGAGGCGAACCGGGGGAACUGAAACAUCUAAGUACCCCGAGGAAAAGAAAUCAACCGAGAUUCCCCCAGUAGCGGCGAGCGAACGGGGAGGAGCCCAGAGCCUGAAUCAGUGUGUGUGUUAGUGGAAGCGUCUGGAAAGGCGCGCGAUACAGGGUGACAGCCCCGUACACAAAAAUGCACAUGCUGUGAGCUCGAUGAGUAGGGCGGGACACGUGGUAUCCUGUCUGAAUAUGGGGGGACCAUCCUCCAAGGCUAAAUACUCCUGACUGACCGAUAGUGAACCAGUACCGUGAGGGAAAGGCGAAAAGAACCCCGGCGAGGGGAGUGAAAAAGAACCUGAAACCGUGUACGUACAAGCAGUGGGAGCACAGAGCAAUCUGUGUGACUGCGUACCUUUUGUAUAAUGGGUCAGCGACUUAUAUUCUGUAGCAAGGUUAACCGAAUAGGGGAGCCGAAGGGAAACCGAGUCUUAACUGGGCGUUAAGUUGCAGGGUAUAGACCCGAAACCCGGUGAUCUAGCCAUGGGCAGGUUGAAGGUUGGGUAACACUAACUGGAGGACCGAACCGACUAAUGUUGAAAAAUUAGCGGAUGACUUGUGGCUGGGGGUGAAAGGCCAAUCAAACCGGGAGAUAGCUGGUUCUCCCCGAAAGCUAUUUAGGUAGCGCCUCGUGAAUUCAUCUCCGGGGGUAGAGCACUGUUUCGGCAAGGGGGUCAUCCCGACUUACCAACCCGAUGCAAACUGCGAAUACCGGAGAAUGUUAUCACGGGAGACACACGGCGGGUGCUAACGUCCGUCGUGAAGAGGGAAACAACCCAGACCGCCAGCUAAGGUCCCAAAGUCAUGGUUAAGUGGGAAACGAUGUGGGAAGGCCCAGACAGCCAGGAUGUUGGCUUAGAAGCAGCCAUCAUUUAAAGAAAGCGUAAUAGCUCACUGGUCGAGUCGGCCUGCGCGGAAGAUGUAACGGGGCUAAACCAUGCACCGAAGCUGCGGCAGCGACACUAUGUGUUGUUGGGUAGGGGAGCGUUCUGUAAGCCUGUGAAGGUGUGCUGUGAGGCAUGCUGGAGGUAUCAGAAGUGCGAAUGCUGACAUAAGUAACGAUAAAGCGGGUGAAAAGCCCGCUCGCCGGAAGACCAAGGGUUCCUGUCCAACGUUAAUCGGGGCAGGGUGAGUCGACCCCUAAGGCGA
RNAcentral lists this ribosomal RNA (1252 nucleotides) under Escherichia coli. Its description in RNAcentral is "partial 23S ribosomal RNA". It matches the Rfam family "Bacterial large subunit ribosomal RNA", at positions 108 to 1399 of the family's 2925-position model. Lineage: Bacteria; Pseudomonadati; Pseudomonadota; Gammaproteobacteria; Enterobacterales; Enterobacteriaceae. The record is from RNAcentral.